AACGAACGCUGGCGGUGUGCCCCAUACAUGCAAGUCGUACGCGAAUCCUGCCGCAAGGCAGGGUUUGAGUGGCAAACGGGUGCGUAACACGUAGGUAAUCUUCCUUUGAGUUGGGGAUAAGCCCUCGAAAGGGGGUCUAAUACCGAAUAACACUUCGGGCCGGCAUCGGCCUGAAAUUAAAGAUGGCCUCUGCUUGCAAGCUAUCGCUCGGAGAUGAGCCUGCGGCCGAUAGUUAGUUGGCGGGAUAAAAGCCCACCAAGACUUCGAUCGGUAGCCGGUCUGAGAGGAUGUCCGGCCACACUGGGACUGAGAUACGGCCCAGACUCCUACGGGAGGCAGCAGUAGGGAAUAUUGCGCAAUGGCCGCAAGGCUGACGCAGCAACACCGCGUGGGGGAUGAAGGUUUUCGG
Molecule: ribosomal RNA, 409 nt
Filed under: uncultured bacterium
Lineage: Bacteria
Description: bacterial SSU rRNA
Rfam family: Bacterial small subunit ribosomal RNA
Source: RNAcentral